UACGGAGGAGGCCAGCGUUAUCCGGAAUUAUUGGGCGUAAAGCGUCCGCAGGUGGCACUUCAAGUCUGUCGUCAAAGACUGGGGCUUAACCCUGGAAAGGCGGUGGAAACUGAAGCGCUAGAGUGCGGUAGGGGUAGAGGGAAUUCCCGGUGUAGCGGUGAAAUGCGUAGAGAUCGGGAAGAACAUCGGUGGCGAAAGCGCUCUACUGGACCGCAACUGACACUCAGGGACGAAAGCUAGGGGAGCGAAUGGG
RNAcentral lists this ribosomal RNA (253 nucleotides) under uncultured bacterium. Its description in RNAcentral is "partial 16S ribosomal RNA". It matches the Rfam family "Bacterial small subunit ribosomal RNA", at positions 524 to 776 of the family's 1533-position model. The record is from RNAcentral.